GCUUAACUGGCUCAGAUGGUAGAGAGUCCGCCUGUAAUGCAGGAGACCCAGGUUCAAUCCCUGGGUCGGGAA
RNAcentral lists this transfer RNA (72 nucleotides) under Bos taurus (domestic cattle). It matches the Rfam family "tRNA". Rfam says of the family: Transfer RNA (tRNA) molecules are approximately 80 nucleotides in length. Lineage: Eukaryota; Metazoa; Chordata; Mammalia; Artiodactyla; Bovidae. RNAcentral also lists the same sequence under 5 other names. The record is from Rfam by way of RNAcentral.